Molecule: ribosomal RNA, 497 nt
Filed under: uncultured bacterium
Lineage: Bacteria
Description: partial 16S ribosomal RNA
Rfam family: Bacterial small subunit ribosomal RNA
Source: RNAcentral
GACGAACGCUGGCGGCGUGCCUAAUACAUGCAAGUAGAACGCUGAAGAGAGGAGCUUACUCUUCUUGGAUGAGUUGCGAACGGGUGAGUAACGCGUAGGUAACCUGCCUUGUAGCGGGGGAUAACUAUUGGAAACGAUAGCUAAUACCGCAUAACAAUGGAUGACACAUGUCAUUUAUUUGAAAGGGGCAAUUGCUCCACUACAAGAUGGACCUGCGUCGUAUUAGCUAGUAGGUGAGGUAAUGGCUCACCUAGGCGACGAUACAUAGCCGACCUGAGAGGGUGAUCGGCCACACUGGGACUGAGACACGGCCCAGACUCCUACGGGAGGCAGCAGUAGGGAAUCUUCGGCAAUGGGGGCAACCCUGACCGAGCAACGCCGCGUGAGUGAAGAAGGUUUUCGGAUCGUAAAGCUCUGUUGUAAGUCAAGAACGGGUGUGAGAGUGGAAAGUUCACACUGUGACGGUAGCUUACCAGAAAGGGACGGCUAACUACGUG